GACGAACGCUGGCGGCGUGCUUAACACAUGCAAGUCGAACGGAAAGGCCCUGCUUUUGUGGGGUGCUCGAGUGGCGAACGGGUGAGUAACACGUGAGUAACCUGCCCUUGACUUUGGGAUAACUUCAGGAAACUGGGGCUAAUCCCGGCUAGGAGCUCCUGCUGCAUGGUGGGGGUUGGAAAGUUUCGGCGGUUGGGGAUGGACUCGCGGCUUAUCAGCUUGUUGGUGGGGUAGUGGCUUACCAAGGCUUUGACGGGUAGCCGGCCUGAGAGGGUGACCGGCCACAUUGGGACUGAGAUACGGCCCAGACUCCUACGGGAGGCAGCAGUGGGGAAUAUUGCACAAUGGGCGGAAGCCUGAUGCAGCAACGCCGCGUGCGGGAUGACGGCCUUCGGGUUGUAAACCGCUUUCGCCUGUGACGAAGCGUGAGUGAGGGUAAUGGGUAAAGAGGCACCGGCUAAGUACGUG
This 468-nucleotide ribosomal RNA is filed under the name uncultured bacterium. RNAcentral's name for it is "partial 16S ribosomal RNA". It matches the Rfam family "Bacterial small subunit ribosomal RNA", at positions 28 to 507 of the family's 1533-position model. The record is from RNAcentral.